This is a small nuclear RNA of Gorilla gorilla gorilla (western lowland gorilla), 107 nucleotides long. The record is from Ensembl. Lineage: Eukaryota; Metazoa; Chordata; Mammalia; Primates; Hominidae.
GUGCUUGCUUUGGCAGCACGUAUACUAAAAUUGGAAAAAUACAGAGAAGAUUAGCAUGGCCCCUAUGCAAGGAUGACACGUAAAUUCGUGAAGCAUUCCAUUUAUUU